This 230-nucleotide unclassified non-coding RNA is filed under the name Hevea brasiliensis (rubber tree). Lineage: Eukaryota; Viridiplantae; Streptophyta; Magnoliopsida; Malpighiales; Euphorbiaceae. The record is from RNAcentral.
AGUUAAUAGUGGAUUCUAACGUACACUAACUAAAAAUUAAAUUCAAAUUAUUAAGAACUUCGAUCAGAUGAUAUUGAUACAUACCCCAAAUAUUGUCAUUGCUGCGCAUGAACUCCAUCGAUGACUGCUUUUGUUAGUCGUGAAGAUUGGGAUAAAUACAUAGGCUUCUGCAGUGGACUUGAUAAAACCGGAGACUAAAUCUGCCAAAGAAAGCAUCCAGCUCAGAAAAG